Molecule: long non-coding RNA, 2007 nt
Organism: Belonocnema kinseyi
Lineage: Eukaryota; Metazoa; Arthropoda; Insecta; Hymenoptera; Cynipidae
Exons: 4
Source: RefSeq, a predicted model, not a curated record
GUACGGUACUCGAUAGUGUUCUCUCCACCGAAAAUCUCGUUUAAUGUUUAUGUACCUAACUACCAGUGUAUUGUAAUUUGUGUUUGUGAAAGAAUGUACGAUAUAUACACGGACAGUGUGCUUUUAAUUCCUUCAAACUUACAUCAUCGUUAAGCCUUGAAGCAUGACGAAGAGAAUGCACUAAUACGUACAGGUGGAUGAUUUAAGUAAAUAUUAUCAUCGGAACUAUGAUUCCGAUCGCGAAUGCAUAUUAUAAUGAGAAUGCUGACUACGCUAAAACAGAAAAAUGAUUUCCUAUUGAAGCUUCACAAUAAUAAUUUCAAUAAAAAAAUAGCUUCUUUGAAUGAGACAUACACUUAUUUACUUAUAAAUCAAUAUAUUUUGAUAUUAAAAAUAUACUUUUAAUAUUAAGAAGGUGCAUUCACUAAUAUCAUGAGGAUAUAUAUAGUCAGGCUCCAUCUUGAACCUCUUAAACACAAGUAGAUGACAAGUAGGUUAUUUUGAGGUUAUUGUGGGGAGUGUUUAUGAUUUCACCUGUAAAUAUUAUUACACUGUGAUUCUAAUUAUCAAAAAUUCCGAAAGGGAAAAGCACUCGUCUCGUUUGGAGGCAUCGAGCAAUUUCCAACACUCUAAUAUUCCAGAAGGAAAACGAAAAAAAAUUCGUUGAAUCUACUUUUUGACAGUGGAAAUCCAAUCAAAAAAUCCGUCACCAGUAUCAUCAAAAAGUACAUGUCAAGAGAAUUAGCUAUAUGAAACUUACAGCUCUGCCGUGAUUUGGAAGAACAACGUUAACUGCGUUUCGGAUAAGUACCUUGAGUCGCCUAACGUUAAAGACUUUCAGGUGACUUAUCCGAUUUGCGGUUUACGGUGUUCUUCCAAAUCAUGGCAGAGCUAUAAAGAGAAUGAAAAAUAAAUUACUUUUCAAGAACUUUUACAUGUACCCUUGUAUUCUCGGUAUGAAAAUUAUUAUUACAGCAAUUAAUCAUCAUGUAUAAUUAUUAUAAGUUAACUUCAACUUUAAUUUAAAAUUUAUAUUUUUUCAUUUUACUGGCGUUGUUUGUGAAAAAUGUAAGUCCACUGAGGAUGAAGUCUUUUCUCAUCUUGGAACGGUCUUCACUAAUUCCGAAGAUUGGAAUGGCAACCGAAAGAUAAGGCUAGCGACGAAUUAUCCGUUUCAGGAAUAAGAUUCUUAAAAUGUUCAGCUACUUGAAAUGCUUCUUUUAGAUAAACAAUUUUAUCUUUAUAAAUGUUUUCACUCAUAUUUUAUUUCUAAAAACAAUUUUUUUUAAUGUGUUUGAGACUACGAAAGUAAAUAAAGCCAAGUUGUGACCAAGUCAGUCGGUAAGUUAGACUCUAGUCGAGUUAGGCGUUUCAUUUAUGGUUUGGUCCUGUCCAAAUCCCCAAUUUGGAGCCAAGUGUAGCAACAAAAUGACUUCCACAUGUCCCAAUUACUUUAAAAAUUAUUCACGACUUGAUAUUUUAAAAAGACAUGAAAAAUACUCUUGCUAGAUGAAGAAUCUUAUGUAUGGUGAGAAACAUAUUGAUCAAAUUACUAUAUUACAUAAUUUUAUAGGGACAAUUAGUCAAGACAGCAACAAAUAGAGUGAUAAGGCCAAUAAAGCAAUUCAGCAGUGCUACUGGUAAUGAUAAUGACGAUGAAGGAGAAGAAGACGAAGGUGAUGAUGAUUAUAACGAUGAAGAUAAGAAUGAUGAUUCUGAAGGUGACUUUUCCUCUAAAUAUGAAGUAGAAGCAAGAGAAACCGCAAAAAUUGCAGAUUACUGGGACAAUCCAAACGUAUUGGUAGAUCGUUUACGUGUACUUUUUCAAUAACAAGCAGCUGGAAGCAGAAAUAAUACACUUGCAAUCAUUUCAAUCAUUAAUGAAUUAAGAGAUGCUAACAUUAUUGAAUAAUGCGUGUAAUUCGCUCCGUGCGCAAGUUACAGGCAGCGCCGCCUAUGGCUGAAUUCUCAACUUCCGUCUCGUCAAAUGUAUUGUAGUGUAUAGAA